AACGCGAAGAACCUUACCAGGGCUUGACAUGUCCGAGACCGCCGGUGAAAGCCGGUUUCCCCGCAAGGGGCUCGGGUGCAGAUGCUGCAUGGCUGUCGUCAGCUCGUGCCGUGAGGUGUUGGGUUAAGUCCCGCAACGAGCGCAACCCUUGUCCUGUGUUGCCACUCCCGUAAGGGAAGCACUCUCAGGAGACCGCCAGCGAUAAGUUGGAGGAAGGUGGGGAUGAUGUCAAGUCAUCAUGGCCUUUAUGUCCAGGGCUACACACGUGCUACAAUGGGCGGUACAAAGCGCUGCAAACCCGCGAGGGGGAGCCAAUCGCAAAAAACCGUUCUCAGUUCGGAUCGCAGGCUGCAACUCGCCUGCGUGAAGCUGGAAUCGCUAGUAAUGGUGUAUCAGAACGAUACCGUGAAUACGUUCCCGGGCCUUGUACACACCGGUACUA
This 442-nucleotide ribosomal RNA is filed under the name uncultured bacterium. RNAcentral's name for it is "bacterial SSU rRNA". It matches the Rfam family "Bacterial small subunit ribosomal RNA", at positions 958 to 1398 of the family's 1533-position model. The record is from RNAcentral.